This 68-nucleotide transfer RNA is filed under the name Petricia vernicina. RNAcentral describes it as "tRNA-Glu". It matches the Rfam family "tRNA". Rfam says of the family: Transfer RNA (tRNA) molecules are approximately 80 nucleotides in length. Their secondary structure includes four short double-helical elements and three loops (D, anti-codon, and T loops). Lineage: Eukaryota; Metazoa; Echinodermata; Asteroidea; Valvatida; Asteropseidae. The record is from RNAcentral.
ACUCUUAUAGUUGAAUACAACAGAUGCUUUUCACGCCUCAAGUUUGGGUUAAACCCCCAAUAAGAGUU